CCCGCCGGCGACCGGCGCACGGGUGAGUAACACGUAUGAAACCUGCCCGUAGCAGGGGGAUAAGCGGAAGAAAUUCCGUCUAAUACCGCGUAACAACCCAUGGAGGCAUCUCUGUGGGUUUAAAGGAAGCGAUUCCGGCUACGGAUGGUCAUGCGUCACAUUAGCUUGUUGGCGGGGUAACGGCCCACCAAGGCGACGAUGCGUAGGGGUUCUGAGAGGAAGGUCCCCCACACUGGUACUGAGACACGGACCAGACUCCUACGGAAGGCAGCAG
Molecule: ribosomal RNA, 274 nt
Filed under: uncultured bacterium
Lineage: Bacteria
Description: partial 16S ribosomal RNA
Rfam family: Bacterial small subunit ribosomal RNA
Source: RNAcentral